This 253-nucleotide unclassified non-coding RNA is filed under the name uncultured Rhodospirillales bacterium. Its description in RNAcentral is "contains 16S-23S intergenic spacer region". It matches the Rfam family "Bacterial small subunit ribosomal RNA", at positions 524 to 776 of the family's 1533-position model. The record is from RNAcentral. Lineage: Bacteria; Pseudomonadati; Pseudomonadota; Alphaproteobacteria; Rhodospirillales.
UACGGAGGGGGCUAGCGUUGUUCGGAAUUACUGGGCGUAAAGCGCACGUAGGCGGCACGGCAAGUCAGAGGUGAAAUCCCCAGGCUCAACCUGGGAAUUGCCUUUGAUACUGCCGCGCUAGAGGCCGGGAGAGGGUAGUGGAAUUCCCAGUGUAGAGGUGAAAUUCGUAGAUAUUGGGAAGAACACCGGUGGCGAAGGCGGCUACCUGGACCGGUUCUGACGCUGAGGUGCGAAAGCGUGGGGAGCAAACAGG